CUUAACACAUGCAAGUCGAACGGUGAACACGGAGCUUGCUCUGUGGGAUCAGUGGCGAACGGGUGAGUAACACGUGAGCAACCUGCCCCUGACUCUGGGAUAAGCGCUGGAAACGGCGUCUAAUACUGGAUACGAGUAGCGACCGCAUGGUCAGUUACUGGAAAGAUUUAUUGGUUGGGGAUGGGCUCGCGGCCUAUCAGCUUGUUGGUGAGGUAAUGGCUCACCAAGGCGUCGACGGGUAGCCGGCCUGAGAGGGUGACCGGCCACACUGGGACUGAGACACGGCCCAGACUCCUACGGGAGGCAGCAGUGGGGAAUAUUGCACAAUGGGCGCAAGCCUGAUGCAGCAACGCCGCGUGAGGGAUGACGGCCUUCGGGUUGUAAACCUCUUUUAGCAGGGAAGAAGCGAAAGUGACGGUACCUGCAGAAAAAGCGCCGGCUAACUACGUGCCAGCAGCCGCGGUAAUACGUAGGGCGCAAGCGUUAUCCGGAAUUAUUGGGCGUAAAGAGCUCGUAGGCGGUUUGUCGCGUCUGCUGUGAAAUCCGGAGGCUCAACCUCCGGCCUGCAGUGGGUACGGGCAGACUAGAGUGCGGUAGGGGAGAUUGGAAUUCCUGGUGUAGCGGUGGAAUGCGCAGAUAUCAGGAGGAA
Molecule: ribosomal RNA, 649 nt
Filed under: Microbacterium sp. Muzt-B35
Lineage: Bacteria; Bacillati; Actinomycetota; Actinomycetes; Micrococcales; Microbacteriaceae
Description: bacterial SSU rRNA
Rfam family: Bacterial small subunit ribosomal RNA
Source: RNAcentral